AAACCGUUGAAAGGGAAGCGAAUGGAGUUAGCAAUUCGCCACGCCAGAUUCAGCUGUCCGUGCGGUGCGACGUGCGCGCUCUCGAUCCGCAUGGACGAGACGCUUGCGGGUGCGCCGCGCGAGCCGCGCACUUCUGGCUGGCGAGCGUCAGCGUCGGUUGGCGUCGGGCGACAAGGAUGCGAGGAAGGUGAGCCGGUACUUGCUGCCGGCCGUUAAGCCUCGCGAUCGCACGGCCCGACGCCGACCGUGGGACUGCAACGCGUGCCGCCGCUGUACUACAGGGGUGGCUGGAGACCCGUACCGAUCGGUCCGGCAUGUCGACCGUGGCGGACGGCACGCCUGUGCGCUCGAACUGCUGCCGGUCGAUCGAACGGUGCUCGCACACUACGCUUCGAGGACGCUGACGGCCAUACGGCUCCAUCCGACCCGUCUUGAAACACGGACCAAGGAGUCUAACAUGUGCGCGAGUCUCCGGGUGAUCGAAACCUGUGUGGGCACAAUGAAAGUAAAGACCGUCUACUAGACGGUUGAGGUGAGAAGCGGCAGCUCCGGCUGCCGUCACAUCAUCGACCGACCUAUUCUGCUCUCAGAGAGGUUUGAGUAAGAGCGCACCUGUUGGGACCCGAAAGAUGGUGAACUAUGCCUGAAUAGGGUGAAGCCAGCGGAAACACUGGUGGAAGCUCGUAGCGAUUCUGACGUGCAAAUCGAUCGUCGAAUUUGGGUAUAGCGGCGAAAGACUAAUCGAACCAUCUAGUAGCUGGUUCCCUCCGAAG
This 773-nucleotide ribosomal RNA is filed under the name Aldersladum jengi. RNAcentral's name for it is "eukaryotic LSU rRNA". It matches the Rfam family "Eukaryotic large subunit ribosomal RNA", at positions 402 to 966 of the family's 3401-position model. The record is from RNAcentral. Lineage: Eukaryota; Metazoa; Cnidaria; Anthozoa; Malacalcyonacea; Cladiellidae.